RNAcentral lists this ribosomal RNA (500 nucleotides) under uncultured Glomeromycotina. RNAcentral describes it as "partial small subunit ribosomal RNA". It matches the Rfam family "Eukaryotic small subunit ribosomal RNA", at positions 591 to 1092 of the family's 1831-position model. The record is from RNAcentral. Lineage: Eukaryota; Fungi; Glomeromycota.
CCAAUAGCGUAUAUUAAAGUUGUUGCAGUUAAAAAGCUCGUAGUUGAAUUUCGGGGUUAGUAGGUCGGUCAUGCCACUGGUAUGUACUGGUCUCACUGAUUCCUCCUUCCUGAUGAACCGUAAUGCCAUUAAUUUGGUGUUGCGGGGAAACUGGACUGUUACUUUGAAAAAAUUAGAGUGUUUAAAGCAGGCUAACGCUUGAAUACAUUAGCAUGGAAUAAUGAAAUAGGACGUUCGAUCCUAUUUUGUUGGUUUCUAGGAUUGACGUAAUGAUUAAUAUGGAUAGUUGGGGGCAUUAGUAUUCAAUUGUCAGAGGUGAAAUUCUUGGAUUUAUUGAAGACUAACUACUGCGAAAGCAUUUGCCAAGGAUGUUUUCAUUAAUCAAGAACGAAAGUUAGGGGAUCGAAGACGAUCAGAUACCGUCGUAGUCUUAACCAUAAACUAUGCCGACUAGGGAUCGGAUGAUGUUAAUUUUUUAAUGACUCAUUCGGCGCCUUACG